UAAGUCGUUUUCUUUCUCUGAGAUGUUUCCUUAUUUUGGCUAACAAGUAAGAAACAAUUUAUUCAAAAACAAAUCAAAAUCCCAAAUCUAUGCAAGCUUCUUCUGUCCCACCUCAUUCAAACAUGGCAAGCCCACACGUGGAUGAACAAGUUAAAACUCAUGUCACUUUCAUUUGCAGCGCUGAUACUACCGUUGGAAUUUCAAAAUUCAAUUUCUCCUUCUCUUUCAAUAUCUACUUUCUUACUCAUCUCUCUCCAUCUUUUGUUGAUUUCUUCGAACUGAAAGGGUCAAGCUUCCUCUCUACACACAAAUUUGAGAGAUUCCUUCGUUUCUCCAUCACUUUUGACAAACCCAGCGGCGAGAAAAUUAUGAAGUAAGGGAUGUUGUUCUUCAAUCUUCAUUCCUCACGUUGUUUCUUUUCUUCUUCACGUGCAAAUCAGAGAUUGCUGCUAAUGAAUUUAAGUGAAAGGUUUCUCUGUUGGCUACAUGGCAUUUAUGGUAAAUUAUGUCCAUUUCAUAGUUUAAAAAGAUCCUAACAGAGCUGAUACAAUUUGGGUCAGAUUCAUGGACUAAAUUUGAUCCCAAAGGUGAAUAUAAAAGGUAAAGGCUACCUGAGUUAGCAAGAAUGCCAACCAAGUGGAUCUGUCUUAAUUAGCAUUGCACAACCUACUGUGCCUAAAUAAAUAAGAGUUAAACCAGCUCAAAAUUUUCCAAAGUAGUUUCAUCGUAUCUUUGGCAAAGAAGAAUGCUGAUUGGAGCUAUAUUGUAGAUUUGGGAAAGAUGACAAGCAAUGAUAGAUUUCCAAAGGAUGAAGUUUAAAUUUGUGAAGAUAGAGUUUUACAUGACAAGUCCUUUAGAUGGAGUUUAAGAGACCCUUUUUAUUCAUUCUUUUUUCUUAUUCAUUGUUUUAGCGGUGUCUUAAACUUCAUUUAUAUGUAUGUAUUGAGCACCAAAAACAUGAUUUGUAUGUUGAACUUGACUUAUUUUUUUCCUAUGUAAUUUGUUAUUUUUAUACUACAUGUGAAGUGAACAAUGCUUCCCAAUCAAACGAAUAUCAAUUGAGAUGUAGGUACAUAUAUAUAGAUGAG
Molecule: long non-coding RNA, 1088 nt
Organism: Trifolium pratense (red clover)
Lineage: Eukaryota; Viridiplantae; Streptophyta; Magnoliopsida; Fabales; Fabaceae
Exons: 3
Source: RefSeq, a predicted model, not a curated record